Impatiens glandulifera is the source of this 72-nucleotide small nucleolar RNA. RefSeq annotates it as small nucleolar RNA snoR60. The transcript has a single exon. The record is from RefSeq and is a predicted model, not a curated record. NCBI's taxonomy places the organism in Eukaryota, Viridiplantae, Streptophyta, Magnoliopsida, Ericales, Balsaminaceae.
UUGCAAAUGAUGUUUUUUUCGGAUUCCCUUUCAAGACUUCAUGAGUGAUGUAAAAACAUAGUCUCUGAUGUU